AGGACGAACGCUGGCGGCGUGCUUCACACAUGCAAGUCGAACGGGGCUCAUCCGGUGGUAACACUGGAGAAGGCCUAGUGGCGAACGGGUGAGUAACACGUGAGGAACCUGCCCCGAAGACCGGGAUAACAGCGGGAAACCGCUGCUAAUACCGGAUGCCCCCAUCAGGCCGCAUGGCCAGGUGAGGAAAUGGAUUCCGCUUCGGGAGGGUCUCGCGGCCUAUCAGCUAGUUGGUGGGGUAACGGCCUACCAAGGCUACGACGGGUAGCUGGUCUGAGAGGACGACCAGCCACACUGGGACUGAGACACGGCCCAGACUCCUACGGGAGGCAGCAGUGGGGAAUCUUGCGCAAUGGGCGAAAGCCUGACGCAGCAACGCCGCGUGAGGGAUGAAGGCCUUCGGGUUGUAAACCUCUUUCAAGCAGGGACGAUAGUGACGGUACCUGCAGAAGAAGCUCGGCCAACUACGUGCCAGCAGCCGCGGU
This 485-nucleotide ribosomal RNA is filed under the name uncultured bacterium. RNAcentral describes it as "SSU rRNA". It matches the Rfam family "Bacterial small subunit ribosomal RNA", at positions 26 to 521 of the family's 1533-position model. The record is from RNAcentral.